UUCGGUUGAUCCUGCCGAAGGCUACUGCUAUUGGAGUUCGAUUAAGCCAUGCGAGUCUAAGGGGUACUUGUACCCCUGGCAUAAUGCUCAGUAACACGUGGAUAAUCUACCCUUAGGUGGGGCAUAAACCCGGGAAACUGGGGCUAAUUCCCCAUAGAUACAGAAGGCUGGAAUGCCUCUGUAUUCAAAGCUCCGGCGCCUAAGGAUGAGUCUGCGACCUAUCAGGUAGUAGUCAGGGUCACGACCUGACUAGCCAACGACGGGUACGGGGUGUGAGAGCACUUGCCCGGAGAUGGUUUCUGAGACACGAAACCAGGCCCUACGGGGCGCAGCAGGCGCGAAAACUUCGCAAUGCGGGAAACCGUGACGAGGGAACUCCAAGUGUCUAUGCAAUGCAUAGACUGUUUUUCAGCCUAAAUAGCUGUUAGAGUAAGGGGUGGGUAAGACCGGUGCCAGCCGCCGCGGUAACACCGGCACCCCGAGUGGUAGCCACUAUUAUUGGGCCUAAAGCGUUCGUAGCCGGUUUAGUAAAUUCUUGGGUAAAUCGUACAGCUUAACUGUGCGGAUUCCGGGGACACUACUAGACUUGAGACCGGGAGAGAUUAGAGGUACUUGCAGGGGAGCGGUGAAAUGUUGUAAUCCUGCAGGGACCACCAGUGGCGAAGGCGUCUAAUCAUAACGGCUCUGACGGUGAGGAACGAAACCCUGGGGCGCAAACGGGAUUAGAUACCCCGGUAGUCCAGGGCGUAAACGCUGCUGACUUGGUGUUGGAGAUCCUACGAGGGUGUCCAGUGCUGGCGCGAAGGUAUUAAGUCAGCCGCCUGGGGAGUACGGUCGCAAGACUGAAACUUAAAGGAAUUGGCGGGGGAGCACUGCAACGUGUGGAGCGUGCGGUUUAAUUGGAUUCAACGCCGGAAAACUCACCGGGGGCGACGGUUACAUGAAGGCCAAGCUGAUGACUUUGCCUGAUUUUCCGAGAGGUGGUGCAUGGCCGCCGUCAGUUCGUACCGUAAGGCGUUCUGUUAAGUCA
This 1030-nucleotide ribosomal RNA is filed under the name marine metagenome. RNAcentral's name for it is "bacterial SSU rRNA". It matches the Rfam family "Archaeal small subunit ribosomal RNA", at positions 1 to 1036 of the family's 1478-position model. The record is from RNAcentral.